GUGUAGGGCCGGCCCAGCGACUUGCUGUAACUAAUGGAAGGUGGCAGAAGUGACUGACGGAUCCGGGUCUAAGCCUUAAGGACUAGAAGCUUCUGCUUUUACUUAUUUAGGACCCCUGAGCGGACAUGUAAGAAGUCCAACCAUGUUCCUGAAGAGACCACAUGGAGAUGCCAUGUGAGAGAGAAGCUCUCAAACUACAUACAAGAGAACUGAGGAGCCCAGCUGACAGUAAGGACGGAGGCCCCACACGUAGGAUCCCAGUGGAGCCGUUAGAGCCAGCUGUGGAGGUGUCUUAGCCGAGCACGAAGAAGUAUCAAGGACAGAUCACAGAGAUAAAGAAAGUGAAGCCGGAUCUUUGGGAAUUGGAUAUGGCUUCUCAACUACACAUCUGGGAUUAGAGAAAGACUCUGCUUGAAGUUCUGCAGGCUAGAAUCUGAAGUCAGAGUGUCAACAUGGCAGUGCUUCCUCCAAAGGCUCCAUGGGAGAAUUCUUCUGUGACUCUUCCAGUUUCUGGUGGCUCCAGGCGUUCCUUGAGCUCUAGAGGUGAAGAAUGAAGCUUCCAACUGUGUCUUGCCACCCUGACCUCAUCUGAGUUAAAUCUAAGGAUUUGAGGGUUAAAAGCAUUGAGCUGAGUGAUGUCCACAGGCACAUGGUGUCAUUCACUCUUGGGAGCUCAAGAUCCCAGGACUCUACAGGUUGCCCAACUGUACCCUCGGAAGACCCCUCGGUGGAAGAACAAGCCUGAGGUCUUUGAGCAUCACGUUCUGCCCUCAUUGUGGAUUUCCAGACCCUUCCCCACAGAACAGCUCAGGUCGUGCCAUUACUGUGUGGCAUUGCUGGAGCUAGUUAGGGUCAAGGCAUUAACCAACCUGAUGGGAAGUCACUUCUGACUGGGAAGCUUCAGAGAGUGGCAAAAUAUUUGAGAUCAUCUAAGUCAUGUCUAGAUAGCCUUGUCUAAAGUAUAUGGUGUUUUCCACCAUAAUUUGGUUCCAAAUAGAAGAUUUGUAGAGUUAUCUCACCUAAACAUCUAUCCCAGACAGGAGCUAAAGAUGAGGUUUCUGCACCGGAUGACAUGUGUCUAUGAGGAGGGAUCCUGUCAUGGCUUGUUCCGCUGGCAACAGGGUUCUCUGGCCACCUCCAAGGUAGAGGUGCUUGUCCCAGGAGAGAAGGACACAGGGCAAGAGGCCUCUGUGGACCCUUGUUCUCAUGGUUGGGAGGUUGGAGUGUUGUUACUCUGCCCUUACGUGGCUCUGGAUUGGGUCUGUGAGACUGAGUUCCAGAGCAUUAGGAUCCGGGCCCUCUGUUUAUGUGGCGUUGAGUGCGCAGGGUGGAAGCUGCAGAAUCUAUAGCUACACAGUUUGAAGCCAUGUGGCCAGUUGAUGUCCCCUGAAUCUCAGUUCUGACGUAUUUUGUUGGACAAGAAUUUCUGACCUGUCAUUCAACAUACAAGGGAUUCCCAGGACUCUCCAGGUGGCAGAAAGAGGCUGCACAUUCUGGGAAACGGAGACCAUACUUUUAUAGAGGGGCAGCCUGGCAUGAGAUUAGAAAAGUCUCUGGCACGUGGUAGGUUAUUGAGUAAGAAAUACCUGGGUUCCAGCCCAGUCUGCUACCAAAUUAUCAGUGUAGUACCCAGUAAGUCAGGUGACUUCUCUGGGCUUCCGUCUCUUCAUUCAGAAAAUGAGAUGAUUAGAUUAGAAGGUUUUCAAAGUGUGCUUCACAGACAACCCGUAUCAGAAGGCCUGUAGUGCUUGUUGUAAUACAGAUUUCUGGCCCUCACUCUGGCAGGUCUGUAGGAAUAGCUACAAGUGGGCUGGAAAGCUGCAUUUUUACUAGCUCCCCAGGCCUCUCUUGAUACACACAAUACAUCCAGGACCAUCAGACAGGAUGAUCUCUAAGGUUCCCUGUGCUGACCUGUAAUAGGGCAGAUUUGACCUGAGAAAAGUAGGACAGUAAUCUUGGAUGAGCUUCCGUUCUUCCCACUCCCUUGGAGGCACUACUCCCACGGGAUCCCUGGCUUACUUGUCUGUCUACCUAAUCCACCGCCACUCCCCACCCUCACACUCCUGGGGUCUAAGGUCCAGGCCUGUCAGAGCUUGUUCUCCUCUUUUCCUGCCCUCACUAAGCCCAGUCAGCCUCGGCUGCAAUUAUUUCCUCACCCCCUCUGCAUCUGCCAAAAUGUGCAGGGGUCCACUUGCUAAGAGCGUUUUGGGAACCACUGAGUGUCGUGCUGAGAGGAGGUGCUCCUCUGGUAAGCUUACCCAGGCCAGAACGCCAGGGGAGAGGGGACAAGUGAGAGUGCUCCUCAAGCUAGAAUUCAAACCACUCCCAUCAAAACGUCAGUCUCCUAGAGACAACGACUCAUCCAGGAAAAUGAUUCCUCUGGGGGAGUUUCAGACCAGUUAGCGGUGGGGACGGCAACAUCCUGGCAGAUAUGUGGGUAACUACUUUUUAGAAGACAUGACUUUUCGAGGUUUUUGGAAUCUCAUCAGUAGGCAGAUGCUCCCACAGAAUAUCAAUUCUCCUUAUAAAACUGCACAAAGCUUCAUCUGCAUGGCCAUGAGGAGGAGAUUCAGGUAAAAUAUCUCGAACCUUGUGGAGAAACUCAAAAUACCUAGGGGCCAAUCCAAAUGUUCACCAGCCCUUCCCAAAAGUCUCAGCCUUGAUGAAUGUGAGCGUGUAGGGACUUCCAGCACCCUAACUAAACAUGGUUUCCAAGGGUGCAAUUCUCACCUGCUGCCUUGGUUUUCCAGGGCUUUUGAGAUUGCAAGAAUCAUGCAUUAGGGGUUAUUUCUACUUGUUUCAUAAAGAUGAAAGACUCAGUCAUAAGAGCGAGAUGUUCCCUCUGGAAUUUUCUCACGGGACUCUCUAUUAAGUUACCCAUGAUGUUCAACACAAUCCUAGUGAUUUAAGAGAACUCAAAGGAUCCCGAUAAGCAGCCAUGGUAUGAAGAUUAUUUUCCUUUUAGUGAAGGCGAAAACAGGAAGAUAUGAUUUUCUCAGAUCGUGUGGACUAAGCCAGUUAGGGGAGUGGUGUGGGUGGGCUUGGAACCCACUAAUCCCAUCUUUCUUGGGAAGUGCUACAAGAGCUACAUGGACAACUUGAGCCCGUAGGGUCUCUGAGCAACACACACACGUGAGCCGGGAAUCACAAGUCUGAGGAAAUGCCUCUGUUGGUUUCACCCAAUAUAUAUAUUGCAUCGUCAACCACAACAGUGCUAACACUGUACUAUAUGAGCAAUAACUAACAUUUAUUGAGUCCUUACUGUGAACUGGGACCUGAACUAAGAUUUUUGCAUAUCUAACCUCAUUUAAUUUCAUUGAAUAGUGGAUAUUAUUUUUAUUUCUAUUUAUACAAAUGGAGAAGCUAGAAUUUAGAGAAGUUGAAUGACAUCGCAAAUCACCCAGCUAUUGAGUGGUGGAUUCAGAACUCAAACCCAGGGUCUGUUCUCUUAAAAUAGGCAAUGAACAUGUGAAAAACUAACCUAAAUCCCAUUACUCAGAAGUAACCAUUUGUAACAUCACUGUUGCAAUGCUUUCCAGAUUUUCCACUAUGAAUAUUACAUAUAAAAUUUAUUUUUAUAUAUAUAUAUAGAUAUAUAUCCAUCUUUUGUAACCUGUUUUUUUCAUUUCACCUAAAAAUAUAUAGCCUGGAAAUAGUCUGGUCACUCCAGGUCCCCCAAGUUUUGGCAGCAGAAAAGUGCUUAUCCAGCAUGAUGCCCACAAAGCGUGCAAGGCGGUGGUUUUAUAAAACGCAAAGCUGGGCACCCAAGUAGAUAUCAAGACCACAAAGUCCGACAGCUUUGAAACCUACUCCAGCACAUUCUCACAUGCCUAUAUUUUACAGACAAGGGUAAUGAGCCCAAGAAUUACCGCCCUCCAGCUUCAGGGGAGUGAAAAAUGAAGGGUUGUUUUCCAAGUAAUGUGACGCCAGACAUCUGGCUCAACAGUCAACAGUGCCAGGCCUUCUCUGAAGGCCAGCGUUGGCCCCCACUUCCUUCUCACCACCGAAUGUCAUGGUGCACCCCAAACCAGGGAAAGUUGUCCUUCUACAGGAUGUAUAACUGCAAGAGGAAAGCAGGUUUUACUGGCUUGUGGUUUCCUAGGCUCUGAGAAUGUUGAAUACAGCCUGUGCAUUGGCAGCUGAAGAACUCGAGAGAAACCACGAGGUUGGAAUUGAUUAGUUCCUGUUGGUCCCUCUCUUCCGCCAAUAUCAGUACCUGUCUCUUGAUAAAUAGACACGUGAACACGCUCCAAACGCAAGGUCCUCGACAGCAAGCAAUAAAAAUGCGCCUUGACCCACUGAAAUAAAUUGUACCAAAUGGAGUUAUUGUUUCCAUUUAUUAUUUAUUAGUCAUGUCCCAUGGAGUGGCUAGUAGAAUAAAUAUUUUUUCCAGUGGAAAAUGAAUGUAUGACCUCUAGAGAAUAACUCCACAAUCAGAUGUAAUAAAGAUCACUGAACAACCAUUCUCCCCAGCUUGGGCUAAAUUUAAUUCUCUCUACCCUGAGCAAAAUUCCCUUUGAGGAUUAAUGUAUCUCUUUGUCACUUGAUCUUUUCUCAGUCCAUACCUCAUCUUGUCUCUCCAUCCCGUUCCUUCCUUUUCUAGCCAUCGUAACAAGUUCUCCAAUAGUCCCUUCCAGGUGCCAUAGUUAAAGAAAUAUGAGUGAGGUUGAUAGGCUUUAAAGGAGCCGAGUGGUCCAGGAAUGGGUUUCGAACUGAUUCAAAAGAGUGACUGUUUCGAUAUAAUAUUUGAUUUGGAACUGGAGGAAAUAUGACACUUAGCGACAUUAUCAACUUAUUCAGAGUCACCGUCACGUUAGGAUGUCUGAAGAUCAUAUCGAGAAUUUGAUUGAUUCGUCUCACCCCCAAAGAUGACUUAAAAGAAGAUGGAGUGAUUAACAUUUAUAAUCAUCUAGCAUAUACUUGAUAAUUUGGUAGAUAUAAAUAGCAGUAUUAAAGAUUUAUCAAAUGGAACACUGUUACUAGAUUAUUCUUUUAGCCAAAGGAGACAGUGCACUGAGGAAGGACCUAUUAGUUUUCCUAGCUUUUCUGCC
Molecule: long non-coding RNA, 5051 nt
Filed under: Equus caballus (horse)
Lineage: Eukaryota; Metazoa; Chordata; Mammalia; Perissodactyla; Equidae
Description: lncRNA (ENSECAG00000048888.1)
Source: RNAcentral